RNAcentral lists this ribosomal RNA (601 nucleotides) under uncultured bacterium. Its description in RNAcentral is "bacterial SSU rRNA". It matches the Rfam family "Bacterial small subunit ribosomal RNA", at positions 733 to 1338 of the family's 1533-position model. The record is from RNAcentral.
CCCGUUAACGACGCUCAUGCUCGAAGGCGCGGGUAUCAAACAGGAUUAGAUACCCUGGUAGUCCGCGCGGUAAACGAUGAGUGCUCGGGAUUUGGGCAUUAGCCUGAGUCCCCCAGCGAAAGCGUUAAGCACUCCACCUGGGGAGUACGCCGGCAACGGUGAAACUCAAAGGAAUUGACGGGGGCCCGCGCAAGCGGAGGAACAUGUGGUUUAAUUCGAUGAUACGCGAGGAACCUUACCCGGGCUUGAAAUGUGCAUGACGACCCCGAGAGACCGGGGUCUCCUUCGGGCAUGCAUGUAGGUGCUGCAUGGUUGUCGUCAGCUCGUGCCGUGAGGUGUCGGCUCAAGUGCCAUAACGAGCGCAACCCCUUCCGCCGGUUACCAUCGGGUUAUGCCGGGGACUCCGGCGGCACUGCCGCCGCAAGGCGUGAGGAAGGCGGGGAUGACGUCAAAUCAGCACGGCCCUCACGUCCGGGGCCACACACGUGUUACAAUGGGGGGCACAGCGAGCGGGAUGAUGGCGACAUCAUUCGAAUCAAUAAAUCCCCUCCCAGUUCGGACUGGAGUCUGCAACCCGACUCCACGAAGCCGGAUUCGCUAG